GGCCUAACACAUGCAAGUCGAGCGGCAGCGGGGGGAAGCUUGCUUCCCCGCCGGCGAGCGGCGGACGGGUGAGUAAUGUCUGGGGAUCUGCCCGAUGGAGGGGGAUAACCACUGGAAACGGUGGCUAAUACCGCAUAACCUCUGUGGAGUAAAGUGGGGGACCUUCGGGCCUCACGCCAUCGGAUGAACCCAGAUGGGAUUAGCUAGUAGGUGGGGUAAUGGCUCACCUAGGCGACGAUCCCUAGCUGGUCUGAGAGGAUGACCAGCCACACUGGGACUGAGACACGGCCCAGACUCCUACGGGAGGCAGCAGUGGGGAAUAUUGCACAAUGGGCGCAAGCCUGAUGCAGCCAUGCCGCGUGUAUGAAGAAGGCCUUCGGGUUGUAAAGUACUUUCAGCGGGGAGGAAGGCAAGAGCGUAAAUAGCGNUGUUGAUUGACGUUACCCGCAGAAGAAGCACCGGCUAAG
Molecule: ribosomal RNA, 467 nt
Filed under: Xenorhabdus bovienii
Lineage: Bacteria; Pseudomonadati; Pseudomonadota; Gammaproteobacteria; Enterobacterales; Morganellaceae
Description: bacterial SSU rRNA
Rfam family: Bacterial small subunit ribosomal RNA
Source: RNAcentral